RNAcentral lists this ribosomal RNA (465 nucleotides) under uncultured bacterium. RNAcentral's name for it is "partial 16S ribosomal RNA". It matches the Rfam family "Bacterial small subunit ribosomal RNA", at positions 28 to 507 of the family's 1533-position model. The record is from RNAcentral.
GACGAACGCUGGCGGCGUGCUUAACACAUGCAAGUCGUACGGUAAGGCCCUUUCGGGGGUACACGAGUGGCGAACGGGUGAGUAACACGUGAGUAACCUGCCCACAACUUUGGGAUAACGCUAGGAAACUGGUGCUAAUACUGGAUAUGUUCUCCUGCUGCAUGGUGGGGGUUGGAAAGCUCCGGCGGUUGUGGAUGGACUCGCGGCCUAUCAGCUUGUUGGUGGGGUAGUGGCCUACCAAGGCGGCGACGGGUAGCCGGCCUGAGAGGGUGACCGGCCACAUUGGGACUGAGAUACGGCCCAGACUCCUACGGGAGGCAGCAGUGGGGAAUAUUGCACAAGGGGCGCAAGCCUGAUGCAGCAACGCCGCGGGCGGGAUGACGGCCUUCGGGUUGUAAACCGCUUUCAGCAGGGACGAAGCUUUUUGUGACGGUACCUGCAGAAGAAGCACCGGCUAACUACGUG